AGAGUUUGAUCAUGGCUCAGAUUGAACGCUGGCGGAAUGCUUUACACAUGCAAGUCGAGCGGCAGCGCGGGGGCAACCCUGGCGGCGAGCGGCGAACGGGUGAGUAAUGUAUCGGAACGUACCCAGUCGUGGGGGAUAACUAUCCGAAAGGAUAGCUAAUACCGCAUACGUCCUGAGGGAGAAAGCGGGGGACCGAAAGGCCUCGCGCGAUUGGAGCGGCCGAUAUCGGAUUAGCUAGUUGGUGAGGUAAAGGCUCACCAAGGCGACGAUCAGUAGCGGGUCUGAGAGGAUGAUCCGUCACACUGGAACUGAGACACGGUCCAGACUCCUACGGGAGGCAGCAGUGGGGAAUUUUGGACAAUGGGGGCAACCCUGAUCCAGCCAUUCCGCGUGAGUGAAGAAGGCCUUCGGGUUGUAAAGCUCUUUCAGCCGGAACGAAACGGUACGCACUAAUAUUGUGUGCUAAUGACGGUACCGGCAGAAGAAGCACCGGCUAACUACGUGCCAGCAGCCGCGGUAAUACGUAGGGUGCGAGCGUUAAUCGGAAUUACUGGGCGUAAAGCGUGCGCAGGCGGAUUGUUAAGCAAGAUGUGAAAUCCCCGGGCUUAACCUGGGAAUGGCAUUUUGAACUGGCAGUCUAGAGUGUGUCAGAGGGGGGUGGAAUUCCACGUGUAGCAGUGAAAUGCGUAGAUAUGUGGAGGAACACCAAUGGCGAAGGCAGCCCCCUGGGAUAACACUGACGCUCAUGUACGAAAGCGUGGGUAGCAAACAGGAUUAGAUACCCUGGUAGUCCACGCCCUAAACGAUGUCAACUGGUUGUUGGGGGGAGUGAAAUCCCUUAGUAACGAAGCUAACGCGUGAAGUUGACCGCCUGGGGAGUACGGUCGCAAGAUUAAAACUCAAA
RNAcentral lists this ribosomal RNA (904 nucleotides) under uncultured bacterium. RNAcentral describes it as "bacterial SSU rRNA". It matches the Rfam family "Bacterial small subunit ribosomal RNA", at positions 8 to 905 of the family's 1533-position model. The record is from RNAcentral.